GACGAACGCUGGCGGCGCGCCUAACACAUGCAAGUCGAACGGAGCUGAGAGAAGCUUGCUUUUCUUAGCUUAGUGGCGAACGGGUGAGUAACGCGUGAGUAACCUGCCCUGGAGUGGGGGACAACAGUUGGAAACGACUGCUAAUACCGCAUAAGCCCACGAUCCGGCAUCGGAUUGAGGGAAAAGGAUUUAUUCGCUUCAGGAUGGACUCGCGUCCAAUUAGCUAGUUGGUGAGGUAACGGCCCACCAAGGCGACGAUUGGUAGCCGGACUGAGAGGUUGAACGGCCACAUUGGGACUGAGACACGGCCCAGACUCCUACGGGAGGCAGCAGUGGGGGAUAUUGCACAAUGGGGGAAACCCUGAUGCAGCGACGCCGCGUGGAGGAAGAAGGUUUUCGGACUGUAAACUCCUGUCGUUAGGGACGAUAAUGACGGUACCUAACAAGAAAGCACCGGCUAACUACGUG
This 468-nucleotide ribosomal RNA is filed under the name uncultured bacterium. Its description in RNAcentral is "partial 16S ribosomal RNA". It matches the Rfam family "Bacterial small subunit ribosomal RNA", at positions 28 to 507 of the family's 1533-position model. The record is from RNAcentral.